This is a long non-coding RNA of Helicoverpa armigera (cotton bollworm), 1545 nucleotides long. RefSeq lists it as uncharacterized. The record is from RefSeq and is a predicted model, not a curated record. Lineage: Eukaryota; Metazoa; Arthropoda; Insecta; Lepidoptera; Noctuidae. The transcript is spliced from 2 exons.
AUAAUAAGGCAGCCAAAAGUAUUAUAGUCGAAUAUUUGGCGGACUCAUAUCUUAAUUAUAUUAAUGAAAAUGGGACUGCUCAAGCAGUUUUUAAACAUUUUGACGCGAUCUAUGAAAGGAAAAGUGUAGCAACUCAAUUAGCGCUGAGAAAACAAUUAUUGGGAUUAAAAUUAAAAGCCGAUAUACCCUUGAUCAAACACUUCUCAACAUUUGACGAUCUGCUGACAGAAUUAUCAGCUGCUGGAGCUAAAUUAGAGGAAACGGACAAAGUAGCUCAUUUAUUACUUACUCUCCCGAAUACAUAUGAUGGCGUUAUCACUGCAAUUGAGACACUAUCUGAAGAAAAUAUCACUCUCGGUUUUGUAAAAACUAGACUAUUAGAUCACGAAGUAAAAUUAAAAAACGAGAGUCGUGAUACCAGUUUAAAGAUACUCCAUGUUGAAGAAAAAUAUAAUAAAACAGAUACAAUCGCACAAAACAAAACUAUUUGAAGAAUACAACAUUCAAGAAAACAAACAAACAAAAAUUUGUGAAAUGUCAUUACUGUGGACGCAAAGGACACAAGAAACAGGAUUGUUUCUAUUUCAAAAGACAGACAAAUAUACAAAACAAUGCCCCAGAAAGGACAAGACAAGUCCAAACUAUUGCCCUGCAAGAGGGAACGACCUCGAAUUCUUCUUUUUCAGGAUUUGCGUUCAUGACAAGCGCAUACCAUUAUGAAAAAGACCACUCGACAAUUAAAUUCCUAUUAGAUUCAGGAGCGUCUGAUCACAUCACAAAUAGAGAUGAUCUCUUCACAUCGUUUGAAUGUUUAAAUCCUCCUUUAAAAAUUUCAGUAGCUAAAACAAUACAUUUAUUUCAGCAACUAAAAGGGGAAACAUAAAUCUUAUCAGUCAAACAGGAGUGCAAGGAAUACUUACAAAUGUAUUGUUCUGUGCCGAAGUACCAUAUAAUUUAAUAUCGGUAUCAAAGAUGCAGCAAGCAGGAUUCACCAUAAUAUUUGAUGACAAAGGCACACAAAUUACAAAGGAAGGUAAAAUCAUCAUGAAAGGUAACCAGUUGGCAGACUUGUUGACAAAACCUUUACCAGUCGUGUCUUUUAUAAGACUGAGAAAAGGAUUGGGUAUAGAAUAAGUUUUAAUUUAAGUACAAUUUCAUUAUGAAAUGGUCUGAUCAGGUUUUUCUGGGUUUUCCCUGAUCCUGUGCAGCAAAUGUUGGACCAUUAUUGUACAGUUGUCCCAGACCUUACUUGGAAGUAUAAUAUGUUACGUCGUAUUUAUAAGUUGGUAUUCACUUUGUAAUGUUGAAUUGUAGACUAGAUACUGUAUAGUAAACUAACGAAUGACUAAAAGUUAGGGAUUAAUUUUUGAGGGGGCGUGUUGGAUUAUAUAAAGCAAAAACUAAUACCCCUAACUUUCGAUAACAUUGUUCUUUGUUCUAUCUGAACAAUCUACUGUUUAUUUAACUCUACACACACUGCGUCACGGGAUCUUGUUAGACGGACGUAUUGCUUCCAAGUACCAUUUAAAGUAUAGAAUAAAUAUU